UAUAUUCAGUAGAGUUGAUAUCCAUUGCCAAAUGAAAAAGCACGAAUGGCCAUUUUGAGUCGCUUGGUGACAUGAUGAUUCGAGGAGCAUGACCGGCAAACCUACCUUCAGUUUUAACUUAUGGUCUGGUAUUCCUGGGGACGUUAAGGUGUUGAGGAGCUCAGUAGGCUGCAUGUUCAUCAUGAUGUUGGUAUUUGUCGUUGCCUUGCACACUGUGUCCAGGCUUA
Molecule: long non-coding RNA, 227 nt
Organism: Triticum dicoccoides
Lineage: Eukaryota; Viridiplantae; Streptophyta; Magnoliopsida; Poales; Poaceae
Exons: 3
Source: RefSeq, a predicted model, not a curated record